UAGAGUAAGGUUUCAAAUAAGAACUUCAUAAUUUUACAAGAAGGAAGCAAAAUUCAGCACCUUGAGACCUGGAAGCUGACACCCUUGCUCCUUUGUUUGAAGCCAAAUUUGCAUAUCUGAAAAACAACCUCAACAUAAGAGAAAUUCCUGGCCCAGGAGAACCUUCUAUCACCAAGCCUCCUGUGAAAUAUUAAACAUCAUAACAAGAAAGAAGCAUAAUUCAACAUCCGGUUUGCCAUCAGGCACCUUUGAGGUGUCUAAGUCCUUCUUGGAUCUGGAUCAGGAAGUUAUUUUUUCCAGCUCCUGAUCUUCCUCUCAAGAGGAUCCAGUUCAUCUCCAAAGCCACAGAAAUAGGUAGAUAAAAUGAAAGUGUCUCACUAG
This is a long non-coding RNA of Alligator mississippiensis (American alligator), 381 nucleotides long. RefSeq lists it as uncharacterized. The record is from RefSeq and is a predicted model, not a curated record. Lineage: Eukaryota; Metazoa; Chordata; Crocodylia; Alligatoridae. The transcript has 3 exons.